UACUUAAGUAAAUGUUUACGCGUAAUGAUCAUCGAUCAAAAACUAUACCGUAUUGAAUAACAUAAAAAAAAAAAAAACUAGAGAAUGUGUUUACAUACAGAUUUAUACAGUGCCCAGUACGUUAUAUUGUGCACGUUAUACGUACGCCACCGAACAGUUCCACCGCCAGGAAAGAACCGCGUACAGUUAUAAUGCAAUUAUUAUAGCGCUUAAAAAACGAUCAAUGAAAGUAUAAUGGGAAUCGUGUUUAUUUUUUUCGCUCGUAAAAAUUUUUACCGAAUGUAAUCGUUGUUUUGUCCGCGCGGCAACGAUGCGAAAUUACGUAAUAUUUUGACGUGCAUUAUUAUUAUUACUGGCAUAUAUUAUACUCGUAUACGCACACUGUAUACGCGAUGCAGUCGGUGUUGUUAACCUGUAAAAUAAAUAAUAAAACAUUUUUUUUUCGUUCGUUUACACGCGCUCGUUUAAUUGCCCAUAUAUCAUCGUUCGAAAACAAAAAAAAAAAAUUCAUUAUUGCUGUUACAUCAGAUACUGCCUACAAUGUUAUGUAAAAGAGAAUAAUAUAUACGCGUGCUACCAUAUAUUGAACACUGCCGCAACAGCAGAAGCGGCGACCGUAUGCACAUAAAUUAUCGACCGAAUCCUUUAAAUCUUAUCUUGAAUCGAACGUCAGCGUGAGUUAGUCGUCGUAUACAUUACUAUACACACGUAUGUGUACAUAAACAAUAUGUAGGGUAAUAACGAUAAUAAUAGUAUUGCACUGUACAUACCUAUAGCUAUAUACUAAUGUGGCGGGUAAUAAAAAAAAAAAAAAAAAUUAUCGCUG
Non-coding RNA from Cinara cedri, 826 nucleotides. NCBI's taxonomy places the organism in Eukaryota, Metazoa, Arthropoda, Insecta, Hemiptera, Aphididae. The record is from the annotation of a GenBank genome assembly.